AGAGCAUGCCUUUUCAGGCAUCCUCUCCCAAACUUUUCAAGCCCGGCACUUGGUGCCGGGCUUUUUUCUUGCGCGCU
RNAcentral lists this small RNA (77 nucleotides) under Erythrobacter neustonensis. RNAcentral's name for it is "Porphyrobacter neustonensis Makes More Granules Regulator RNA (mmgR)". It matches the Rfam family "Makes More Granules Regulator RNA (mmgR)". From Rfam's summary of the family: SuhB later renamed mmgR (makes more granules regulator) was a putative non-coding RNA found multiple times in the Agrobacterium tumefaciens genome and related alpha-proteobacteria. Other non-coding RNAs uncovered in the same analysis include: speF, ybhL, metA, and serC. Several studies inSinorhizobium meliloti showed that suhB element is indeed a non-coding RNA:firstly it was detected on Northern blot and called Sm8RNA, secondly in an RNAseq study referred to as SmelC689. The record is from Rfam by way of RNAcentral. Lineage: Bacteria; Pseudomonadati; Pseudomonadota; Alphaproteobacteria; Sphingomonadales; Erythrobacteraceae.